AUUGAACGCUGGCGGCAGGCUUAACACAUGCAAGUCGAGCGGUAGCACAGGGGAGCUUGCUCCCUGGGUGACGAGCGGCGGACGGGUGAGUAAUGUCUGGGAAACUGCCUGAUGGAGGGGGAUAACUACUGGAAACGGUAGCUAAUACCGCAUAACGUCGCAAGACCAAAGAGGGGGACCUUCGGGCCUCUUGCCAUCAGAUGUGCCCAGAUGGGAUUAGCUAGUAGGUGGGGUAAUGGCUCACCUAGGCGACGAUCCCUAGCUGGUCUGAGAGGAUGACCAGCCACACUGGAACUGAGACACGGUCCAGACUCCUACGGGAGGCAGCAGUGGGGAAUAUUGCACAAUGGGCGCAAGCCUGAUGCAGCCAUGCCGCGUGUGUGAAGAAGGCCUUCGGGUUGUAAAGCACUUUCAGCGAGGAGGAAGGUGGUGAGCUUAAUACGUUCAUCAAUUGACGUUACUCGCAGAAGAAGCACCGGCUAACUCCGUGCCAGCAGCCGCGGUAAUACGGAGGGUGCAAGCGUUAAUCGGAAUUACUGGGCGUAAAGCGCACGCAGGCGGUUUGUUAAGUCAGAUGUGAAAUCCCCGGGCUCAACCUGGGAACUGCAUUUGAAACUGGCAAGCUAGAGUCUCGUAGAGGGGGGUAGAAUUCCAGGU
This 657-nucleotide ribosomal RNA is filed under the name uncultured Serratia sp. RNAcentral describes it as "bacterial SSU rRNA". It matches the Rfam family "Bacterial small subunit ribosomal RNA", at positions 28 to 674 of the family's 1533-position model. Lineage: Bacteria; Pseudomonadati; Pseudomonadota; Gammaproteobacteria; Enterobacterales; Yersiniaceae. The record is from RNAcentral.